This 450-nucleotide ribosomal RNA is filed under the name uncultured bacterium. Its description in RNAcentral is "partial 16S ribosomal RNA". It matches the Rfam family "Bacterial small subunit ribosomal RNA", at positions 354 to 796 of the family's 1533-position model. The record is from RNAcentral.
GUGAGGAAUUUUGCGCAAUGGCCGCAAGGCUGACGCAGCAACGCCGCGUGGGUGAUGAAGGCCUUCGGGUCGUAAAGCCCUGUCAGGUGGGAAGAAAGGCCUGGAGAGGAAAGGUUUCAGGUUUGACGGUACCACCAGAGGAAGCACCGGCUAACUCCGUGCCAGCAGCCGCGGUAAUACGGAGGGUGCGAGCGUUAUUCGGAAUUACUGGGCGUAAAGCGCGUGUAGGCGGGGGGACAAGUCUGAUGUGAAAGCCCUGGGCUUAACCUGGGAAGCGCAUUGGAAACUGUUUUUCUUGAGUACUGGAGAGGAAGGGGGAAUUCCCGGUGUAGAGGUGAAAUUCGUAGAGAUCGGGAGGAAUACCAGUGGCGUAGGCGCCCUUCUGGACGGUAACUGACGCUGAGACGCGAAAGCGUGGGGAGCAAACAGGAUUAGAUACCCGGGUAGUCC